Molecule: long non-coding RNA, 677 nt
Organism: Pogoniulus pusillus (Red-fronted tinkerbird)
Lineage: Eukaryota; Metazoa; Chordata; Aves; Piciformes; Lybiidae
Exons: 2
Source: RefSeq, a predicted model, not a curated record
CGCCGCUGCCUCCUCUGCCCUGCUCGCCUCUCUGCCCGGCCCCGCUGUGCCCGCCUGGGCUGUGCCCGCCCGGUCGCCCCCCACCGGGAUGUGGGCCAGGCCAUGGAGAAGACCAGUGUCUGCUACUUGUCCUCCCCAAACUCCUGCUCACAUAGGUGGCAUCUGCUGGCCGUGCCUGCAGCCUGCAAGCUGUUGCCUUGUCCUGGUGGAAAGGAUGAGUCAUCACCUCCGCAGCAGCAGGGCCUGAUGGACUGUGUCUUCUACAGCUGUGAACAUCAAGGUGCACCCAGCCCGUAGGUCUGAAGAAAGAGGCUUCUUCUCCUUUGAAUUCUCCUAGAGUACAGAAUCUGUGACCUAGAGCCAGAGAAUCACAGAAUCCUUUUGGUUGGAAAAGACCUAGAGGAUCAUCAGGUCCAAGCCUUAACCCAUCACUGCCUGGGCACCACUAAACCAUGUCCCUCAGCACCACAUCUGUAUAUAUUCCUGUCUUACUCUUGGCUUUUUGGGCUUGCUUUAUUCUGUUCUUUUCCAUCCAGCUGGCAGCUGUCACUAGUGGUGUGCCUCAGAGAUCAGUGCUGGGCCCAGUCCUCUUUAAUAUCUUCAUUGAUGAUUUGGAUGAGGAGAUUGAAUCCACCAUCAGCACUGUUCAGCUAAUAAAGGAAAUGCUUUGGUCAAAA